AAAGAAAUGUGGGUUGGCUCAAGACUUUUGUGCAGUACUGUAUGUUCACACACUGGCUCUACGUAAGUGCCGAGUGGGGAGUCCACACAAGAUAAUUACUUAAAUAAAAAUAGAAUUUAAUAAAAAGAAAACCACAGACACCAAAGAGGGAUGGUGUCAGGUGGAUGGAGGAGAAAGAGAGAGCAAAUGAAGACAUGGAGCAGCUUUUAUAGAGGAAGGCCCAGGUCAGCUCGAGCAGCCCUGUACAGAGCUCUGUCACCUGACCUGAAGGCGGCAUCGCGGGCUUUGAGGAGUGAGCGGACUGCGGACUAUACCGCAGACAUUAAUGUUGUUAAAAAAUGAGAACCGUCAAAACAUCCUUUGUUUCUAAUUCUAAGAUAAGAACAAUUGAUUUGUCUGUCACUAAAUUGAAUUUCUUUGGCCUUUGGACUGUUGGUUGAAAACAAAAAAGCUAUUUGAGAUUCACGUUUUGUUCAGUAUCAUUUUGAAGACUAAAUUGUUAGCUUAACAGGGUAAAUGUAAUGCUUAUAA
Oreochromis niloticus (Nile tilapia) is the source of this 531-nucleotide long non-coding RNA. RefSeq lists it as uncharacterized. Lineage: Eukaryota; Metazoa; Chordata; Actinopteri; Cichliformes; Cichlidae. The transcript has 3 exons. The record is from RefSeq and is a predicted model, not a curated record.